ACUUCAAGAUCAAGUCAGCGUACCGACCAGGUAUGCCAUACUUUGAGGGUGAUUACUGGUCUAAAGUGUUUGAGAAGAUCGCCCAGGAGGAAAAAGCGGAGAAGAUCGCAGCUGAGGCCGAGAAGAAUUGCAAGAAGGGAUGCUCACAGCCGCAGUAAGGCCGAAAGAAGAAGAGCAAGCCAGCACCGGCACGGAAGAGAAAAGAGUUCACUACGCGUGUCCUGACCCGGCUGGAGAAGGAUAAAAAUGCGUUCUUCACCAUCACGCUGAUUUCUUCGGAAAAGGUUGCGGACCUUGAGCCCAAGGAGGAGGAUGUGGACGAGCUGCAAAGCGGCAAUAUGAUGGAGAGUCGGGAUUCAUUUCUUGCCUACUGUCGUAAGAAUCAUCUUGAGUUUUCAACUUUGCGGCACGCGCAGUACGCUACACUGUGCAUGCUCAUCGAGCUGCAAAGCCAGUGCAAUGAAAUUGUAAUCGGCUACCGCUGCAAUACCUGCAUGGCUGAAAUUAUUGGAAGUCGUUUCCAUUGCCCAGUGUGGAAGGUGAGUUUGCAUAUUCCUAUUGGCCACUGUGUGUUUCCAGAUUUUUGUUCGUAUUUCUUGCCUCAAGUUCUCUUAGUUCUUUUAGAGUAGACUGUAAAUAGAGGCAAACGAUAGAAUUUUUGUGUCACGUGACUGUCGUCUAUACAACAUGCAACACUUGCAGAUUGCUGGUUCUUUACUUGCCAGUAGCGUCCAGAUCUCCCUCUAUUCUAUAUCUGAUUGUUGUUUUGUACGUGUUUGUUUCUUGCGUCCCUGGUCCUGCGCUACGCGACAGGCGCCCAGCAUGUGACGCAUAGUACAGGCCCAGG
Molecule: long non-coding RNA, 847 nt
Organism: Sycon ciliatum
Lineage: Eukaryota; Metazoa; Porifera; Calcarea; Leucosolenida; Sycettidae
Exons: 3
Source: RefSeq, a predicted model, not a curated record